RNAcentral lists this long non-coding RNA (1301 nucleotides) under Capsicum annuum. RNAcentral describes it as "long non-coding RNA (CANN_LNC020317)". The record is from RNAcentral. Lineage: Eukaryota; Viridiplantae; Streptophyta; Magnoliopsida; Solanales; Solanaceae.
AAGUCUGGAAAGUAGUGGGAGUCACAUUUAAGUGAAAACCCAAUCCAAAUAGGAAAUCCACUUCAAGAAAGUUCAUCUCUGUGGUACUGAUUCCUCCAACUUUUGCAUAGUAUGCAUUAUUGUAGUACCUAAAAAAAAAACAAUUUGAUAACAAAAUUAGCUUACACUUUACACUUAUUAAAAUUAUAAAAUUUAAGUGUGCUAAUCAAUUGAGAUUAAUGGGAAUGUAGCUUUCAAAUCAAAUGAGAACGUGUAAUCUUGACCAUGCCAACUUAAAAGAAUUGGGUGGCUGUAUUUGAAAGUGGGCUUAAUUUUUAAAAUUCAAAAUUAAAGGAACAAGCAAGUUGUCAUUGUGUUGUCAUUAAUUGAUUUCUUAACUAAUCAUUAAGCAUUUGGUAAGUGUUAAUAAGAAAAAACUAUCCAAAUACAUUGCCUUUUUUCUUCUUCUUUUUUCUUUUUGUGCUCUUUGUUUCUUUUUCACCAAUUCAAAAUAUCAAUCACCAAGUUAAACUAAAUCCAUACAAAACUAUGGACAUACUCUGUUUAUGCUCAAUUUUCCCGGAAUUAUGAAAAUUCCUACUCCUGUGUUUCAAUGUGUUUGCCUGAUUUCACUUGAUACGGAAUUACAAAAAAAAAAGGAAUAAUUUUGAAUCAUGAGGUUUUAAACUAAAAACAUAUAGAAUAUACCAUAUAAACUUUUAAUUUUGAGUUAUAGAAUGGGUCAUGCAGAAAAGUUAGAAUUAAAAAGUUACCAAAACACAAAAGAAACACUCUUUGCUAAAAAAGAAGUAAGAUAGAUAAAUUAAAUCAAAGGAGUAAUUCAAAAUCAAAACCAAGGAAAAUUCAUGAUUCAAUACAAAAUUUCCUUGUUCUUUUGAUUUUUUACUCAAUUUCAAACAAAUUGAGAUCGGCUAUAGCCUAUAUAUACGAAUCCACCCUAUCAAUGUUGAUGAUUUUCUAUUUUUAGAAGGAACAUAGCUGAUUAAGAGUAAAUAUAAAUAUUUAUUUUUAAAAAGUCACUUAUAAAUAACCCAUCAAAAACCUACUAGUAUUUUUUACCUUCCAAAAUUCAGAAAUAAUAAACUCUAACACCGAACUCUGUUUAAAAGAUAUAUUGAAAUUCACUUACAUAUCAUCCAUGAAUUUGGCAGCAAUCAUAACACUAGUGAUAAGCAGACGAUGAAUAUUGAAGGAGUUGAUCGGCAAAGAAGGCUGGCACUGAGUAAAUCGAUCAAGAUAAACAUAAGCAACAACGAAACAACAGGGGCUACAAUUGGCGUAUUUGAAUAUUCUCUCUAAAU